CCUACGGGUGGCUGCAGUGGGGGAUAUUGCACAAUGGGGGAAACCCUGAUGCAGCGACGCCGCGUGUAGGAAGACGGUCCUCUGGAUUGUAAACUACUGUCCCCAGGGACGAAGAUGCCGGUACCUGGGGAGGAAGCUCCGGCUAACUACGUGCCAGCAGCCGCGGUAAUACGUAGGAAGCGAGCGUUGUCCGGAAUUACUGGGUGUAAAGGGAGCGUAGGCGGGGAUGCAAGUUGGGGGUUAAAUCUACCGGCUCAACUGGUAGUCGCACUCAAAACUGCAGCUCUUGAGUGAAGUAGAGGCAUGCGGAAUGCGUGGUGUAGCGGUGAAAUGCGUAGAUAUUAGGAGGAACACCAGUUGCGAAGGCAGCCUGCUGGGCUUUUACUGACGCUGAGGCUCGAAAGUGUGGGGAGCAAACAGGAUUAGAUACCCCAGUAGUC
This 440-nucleotide ribosomal RNA is filed under the name uncultured bacterium. RNAcentral's name for it is "partial 16S ribosomal RNA". It matches the Rfam family "Bacterial small subunit ribosomal RNA", at positions 338 to 795 of the family's 1533-position model. The record is from RNAcentral.